CAGUAGCCGCGGUAAUACGUAGGGUGCAAGCGUUAAUCGGAAUUACUGGGCGUAAAGCGCACGCAGGCGGUUUGUUAAGUCAGAUGUGAAAUCCCCGAGCUUAACUUGGGAACUGCAUUUGAAACUGGCAAGCUAGGGUCUUGUAGAGGGGGGUAGAAUUCCAGGUGUAGCGGUGAAAUGCGUAGAGAUCUGGAGGAAUACCGGUGGCGAAGGCGGCCCCCUGGACAAAGACUGACGCUCAGGUGCGAAAGCGUGGGGAGCAAACAGGAUUAGAUACCCCGGUAGUCCCUGUCUCUUAUAA
RNAcentral lists this ribosomal RNA (301 nucleotides) under uncultured bacterium. RNAcentral's name for it is "partial 16S ribosomal RNA". It matches the Rfam family "Bacterial small subunit ribosomal RNA", at positions 509 to 809 of the family's 1533-position model. The record is from RNAcentral.